This 119-nucleotide ribosomal RNA is filed under the name Triticum aestivum (bread wheat). Lineage: Eukaryota; Viridiplantae; Streptophyta; Magnoliopsida; Poales; Poaceae. The record is from RNAcentral.
NGAUGCGAUCAUACCAGCACUAAAGCAUCGGAUCCCAUCAAAACUCCGAAGUUAAGCGUGCGUGGGCGAGAGUAGUACUAGGAUGGGUGACCUCCUGGGAAGUCCUCGUGUUGCAUUCC